Molecule: long non-coding RNA, 2202 nt
Organism: Penaeus monodon (black tiger shrimp)
Lineage: Eukaryota; Metazoa; Arthropoda; Malacostraca; Decapoda; Penaeidae
Exons: 4
Source: RefSeq, a predicted model, not a curated record
UCGAUGGAUGGGUGUGCAAGGCGCAGGAUCAAAGCAACAAGUCCAGGGUGAGAGCGGGAGGAACUGGCAGCCACACGCGGCACAGUGCCACUAGUGAGGGCCCCACUCGUGCCGCCGCCGGGUCACCUUCUUCCUUCUCCUCCUCCUCUCCUCUCCACCUCUCCUCCUCUUCUCCAUUGCUUCCUCCAUCUCCUUCUCCCUACUCUGACGCUCUUGCUUCUGCUACUUGCAGGGGACGGAAGCUACUACUCUCUUUCUCUCGUUUUACCUUAUCUGGCGUCUUUCGUCUACACAUCUCUUCCUUUCCUGCCUCUUGAUUUUUAUCCACGCUUUCUUACUUACGGCACUUUGUUCCUCUAUCCCUCUCUUUCUUCCCCUCUUCCUCUCCCUUCCCGCUCCAUCCCGAUCAACGUCGACGCCAGCGACACCUCGCUCGCCGCCCGAACGUCGGUCUGAUUGUGCCUCCCACUUCGACUCUUCGUCUCUCCGCGGUCGCUUCUUCUCCCUCUCCCUCGAUGUUCGCGCCACUUCUACUCUGCCUCCCCCUUCCUCCAUCCCCUUCUGCCUCGCCUCCGUCUGCGCCUCUUCCUCUGGCCUCGUUCUCUCUCCGCCGAUAGCUGACCGUAUCAGCAGCAGCAGUGAGAGUGUGUGUUUUUCAAGACAGCCAGUGCGUGGAUACACCUGGGCAGUGUCGGCGGCGGUGGUGGUGGUGGGGAAUACAGUAUGGGUGAGCUCGAUUUUAAUACCGCAUAUUUCCCUCUUUUAAUUUUUUUUCUAUCUCUCUUCCUUCUCUACUUUCUCCGCUACAUCACGCCUUCCUGUGCAACCGUCGAGAGGUGUGCGCGGGUGUGUGUAUCCCACGCCCAGGUGGGGUUCCCACCGCCCAAAAAUCAUCCAGCAGCUGCUGGCAGUGUUGUCCAGACAAGGACUUUCCCUUCGCCCCGCCAUCACCAGCUCGUCAGCAAGUCCCAAACACCAUCAACGACACAUAACACACCCGGGAGGUUAACACACAGCCUGAAUCUUGUAUCUCACGUAUCCCUCUCGUGUGAAUGGCUCACGAAUCGCUUAUUCAAAGCCACACACACACAAAAAGCCAUCACUGGUAACAAUAUCGUCAACGCUAACUGCCUCCAUCAACACCGGCGCUGUCUCUCCUCUCUUCGCCGUCCAACAGCCGUUAUGGCCGUUAAAACCGUUACAGCCAUAGUCUGUCGGCGCCAUCCCGCUGUCGCUGGUUUCACCGCCAGCAAACAACCACUCCACUCCAAAGGCUGUGAUUAGAGAGAGAAAAAAAUAGACAAAACCAAAAAAGAAAGAGAAAGAAAAAGAGGUAAAGAAAGAAUAAUAAUCAUCAGUCAGUGGUGCUGUUGCCUCGACGCUAUAGAUCUCCGCUGAGGCUCCGUAACUCUAUGCACGCCGCUCGACACAUUUUUCAUUUUAGUUUCUCUUUAGCUCCCUCUUUUUUGUUUUAAAAGGGUAGGAGGACCCGGUAACAUUUUGGUAAAGAGUAUUCUUGAUUUUUCCCCUUCCUUUUUCGGCUCCGUUCGACUUUUUGGGGGAUGUCAGGUCCCUAUUGAAAGAAGGGGAAAAAUAUAUACCUAUAUAAAGGAAAGAGGACGCAGUUCAUAAGGCUCAAAGGCGCACGAGGGGGAAGUUCACUUUGAUCUCUAUAAGCAAGCAAGCAAGUAAGAAAUCAAGUCGAAAAGCAGUCUACAAACGUAAGAUCCAAGCGAGGUUUACAACAGGCGUAAUGAUGAGGAGCAGCAGCAGUUUUCAAGCAGGUGAUACGAGCCACUCACCGCUAAACGCACAUACGCUCACAUACACACUUACACACAAAGCCCCCAGAAGAGACACAAACAGAAACGCAACAUCUGCGACAGCUGCUACACCAAAGGCAGGCAGGUGGUUGGCGGCGAGAGCAGGCAGGUGGAGGAGAGCUCGCCUCCAUAUCAGCACCGCCGCUACAUCGAGCUCCGACUCUGGCGCGCGCGGCAAACGAAAAAAGAUUAUGCCUGUUAAUACGUCGCUGAGGGUUUGCUGAGGGUAUGGGUAGGUGGGCAAGUCUCGUCCUUGCCCUCUGUCCUCCUUCGAACUCUCUAAGCCACAUCGCAAGCAUCUGAACACCGAGCUCUUCGUCAGAAGCGUGGAUACUUCUUCAGAAUCAUCGGAAGACGAGACAGCAGAGAAAGAGAGAGA